This is a non-coding RNA of Peromyscus maniculatus bairdii (prairie deer mouse), 415 nucleotides long. The record is from RefSeq and is a predicted model, not a curated record. NCBI's taxonomy places the organism in Eukaryota, Metazoa, Chordata, Mammalia, Rodentia, Cricetidae.
UCUCUCUCUCUCUCUCUCUCUCUCUCUCUCUCUCUCUCUCUCUCAACCUUCAAAUUCCCUGAGUAGGGAGGAUCUUUUCACCUGCUACAGAGAGUCACCGGCAAAGCGGCCUUACCAUCUGUGGCCGCCAAACUCUUUUCCCCUUCAAGUGGAAGAGUGUUUUCUACACGGGCGGCAGAGGACGACUCACAGCAAAGUUUAAAGCCAUUUAACACAUCCGAUAACGUACUCAACGUGAGGCCGGGUGGACGAGAAGCACAUCUAUACAUCAACAAAGACCUGCUGCUGUGUGUGUGUGUGGCCUUGGCCUUUGACGUCAAUCAUCUUAUCUAUCGAGGCGGUGGGAUUCUGGAUGACUUUUAUGUCUGUUACUUUGAUGGCAGAAAGGGCCCUAAAUGGCCUGAAGGAAUUUGAG